This 243-nucleotide ribosomal RNA is filed under the name uncultured bacterium. RNAcentral's name for it is "partial 16S ribosomal RNA". It matches the Rfam family "Bacterial small subunit ribosomal RNA", at positions 1259 to 1500 of the family's 1533-position model. The record is from RNAcentral.
GAGGUUUAGGCAAAUCUCUUAAAGCCGUUCUCAGUUCGGAUUGUAGGCUGCAACUCGCCUACAUGAAGUCGGAAUCGCUAGUAAUCGCGGAUCAGCAUGCCGCGGUGAAUACGUUCCCGGGCCUUGUACACACCGCCCGUCACACCAUGAGAGUUUGUAACACCCAAAGCCGGUGGGGUAACCUUUUGGAGCCAGCCGUCUAAGGUGGGACAGAUGAUUGGGGUGAAGUCGUAACAAGGUAAC